This 1811-nucleotide long non-coding RNA is filed under the name Eucalyptus grandis. RNAcentral's name for it is "long non-coding RNA (EGRA_LNC005372)". The record is from RNAcentral. Lineage: Eukaryota; Viridiplantae; Streptophyta; Magnoliopsida; Myrtales; Myrtaceae.
UGACAAUAAAAUAUGGGAUAGAAAAGCAAGAAACAAUUUCACAACCAAUCACUUACACAAACCAACGGAGUUAUAGACGAAGGCCUAUAGCCAAAAGUCUACAAAACACCGGCUCUUAAAAAUGAACUGUCAUAUGACCUACAAAUCGGACACGCUCUCCAAUCCUUAUGGCUUCACCUCUGCAACUCCUCAAAGCCAACCAAAGCUAUCUGGCCGCUCCGUCCACCGAGGACCUGAAAUUUUAAUCCCACAACCGAGAUGAGACGAUGUCUCAGCAAGUUCAACCCCCUAAACCCUUAUUAGAAAGAAAAUACGCCCCGGGUGGCCUAGCCACAUCACACAAAAGACUUACCUCGCCUCAGCCUUCAUCUGCAGGUUAGCACAAUUUAUAUAAUUCAACCACGUGCAAUUAUGAUAACCAAACAACUGCGGCACAAUCACAUCAUCAGAACAAUUUAACUACUUGGAUCGUCUCAUCGAUCAAUCGACUUGGCCGAUUACAUGUCAUUCUAGCAAAUCAAUCAUUGAUCUCAAUCACGGCCUUACUCGGCCAAUUUUAGAAUCAGUGGCAUCACGGCCCCACUGGGCGCGACCUUUAUCAGGUGGCAAUUCACGGCCCCACUGGGCGCGACCUUUAUCAGGUGGCAUAUCACGGCCCCACUGAGCACGACCUCUAAUAGGUGGCAUAUCACGGCCCCACUGGGCGCGACCUUUAUCAGGUGGCAAUUUACGACCCCACUGGGUGUGACCUCUAAUAGGUGGCAUAUCACGGCCCCAUUGGGCGCGACCUCUAAUAUGUGGCAUAUCACGGCCCCAUUGGGCGCGACCUCUAAUAUGUGGCAUAUCACGUCCAAUCUCCCAUCAGCUUCUACACUUAGGAUUUUAUAAAGAAUCCCUAUGUAUCACAAUCACACUCCAUUUGCCACAAUCAAUCAUCAAAUUCAAAUUCUAAAUACAUAGCAACGAUCAGCACGAAAUUCUAAGAAUUUGGGGUCCUAAAAUAAUUUUUCGAAAUUUAUUAAAUAAUUAAAUUUAUUCUGAAAAUUAAUAUAUUAAUAAUAUCCAUAUUUUUCACGAUCCAUGCUCAAUUUAUAAUAUCCAAUCAUCAAUUUCAAAAUCCGACUACACAGUAGCGAUCGGCACGAAAUUCUGAGCAACCGGGGUCAAAAUAUUUUUUUCUUUUUUUAUAAUUAAUAAUAUUUUAAUAAUUUCGGAAUAUAAUAUAAUAUUAUAAAUUCCAGAAUUCGAAAUCACUAAAUAAUUCAAAAAUAAAACCCUAUUAUGUCACAUCAAAGCUUUAUAUUAAAAAUAAACAUACUUAACUUUAAACUAAACACACUUUAACUUAAUUAAACACCAUAAUCUAAUCAUCAACCAAAUAAACUAAUUUAACCACCUAAGCUUACUUAACUUAGGCUAAGCACACUUAGGGCAUCAUUAACCGUCUAAUCAAGGUUUAGUGAGUUAAACUCACCAUAUUAGCGAGCCGAGCGGACCAAAACGACGGGGACGACGAGGGGAUCGACUUUCCUCAAAGCGGGCCGAGCAUCCGGGCUUGGGAAGGCGGCCAAAACGGGCCACGAGCGGGCUGCAAUACCCAUUUUUCCAGCCACUGAUUUGGGGCCGAGAAGGGCGGAUCCGGCGCCGGUUCGGGCAGAGGAACGGCGGAGGAGACCGGCGAGGGCUUGGACGGCCGGUGGGGAGGUCAACGGCGGCUCACGGCGGCGGGGACGAGCUCCAGCAGCUCGGGACGACGGACGAUGGCUGCUGGCGCGCGGACGAAGCAGGGAUGACACGGCUGGAGACUCGGG